CUUGGGUGCCAACCGAGGCAUCGUUGGCGAUGGGGUCUUGUUGGGACUCGGCAACCUCUUGCUCCAGCGCUUUGGUCUCUACACGAAAUGCAAUGAUACAAAAUAAAUAAACAUACCAUGAAUGAGUGCAAUGACAUGAGAAAAAAUAUACUCAAAUAUGAUCUAACAAAAUUGGUUUCAUGAUUUUUGGACUAAAAGAGAAUUAACUAUGCAAUUAACAAGAUUAAAACUCAUAUAAUUAAUUCAGAAAAUUAAUUAAUUAUUUUGCGAGAAAACUCAUUUUUAACAGGUUCUUUACAUCAUUGGAAAACCAACAAAAUUUGUUUCACAUUUUUCUGAGCUAUAUGCAAUUUUAUAUGAAUUUUACAAAAAUGAUACAUGGGCUGUGAAUAGUAACUGCGGACCGUCCGUGGUCAACUAACGGACUGUCCGCGGUGAGCCGACGGACUGUUCGAACCUCAUGUACGGACUGUCCGCGGGACCCCGAAAAUCCAAAAUUGUCUCUGGAUGAUUUGGUUUUGAUUACGGACAGUCCGUCCGGGACUCUCGGACUGUCCACGGAUGAGGCGUGGCUCGCCGUCGAGCUCGCCGGCGGCGACUCCGACCAUGUUUUUGGAUGGAGUUUGUUUCUAUGGGUUGCUAGAAGUGUAUAGAGGUGAUUCCAAGUGAUAGAUUUGAGAGAAAACAAGUUUUAGAAGCUUGAACCCAUCAAUGGUGAUUGGGAACCCUAGGUUUCCAUAGAUGGGGCUAGGGAGCUCGAUUGAUGGCAAAGGAAGAGAGGGAGCGGUGAGGAAAGCUCACCGACGAUGAGUAGAGCAUGAUCUUGAUGCCGCUUGUUGACGUAGGGCAGCGUAGAAGUAUAUCGGGCCGAGUUCAUCCUUGAGAGCUUGGGGAAGAAGAAGAGGAAAAGCUUGGGCUUGACCUUUCCCAUGGUUCCCGGCGAGGAGGAGGUGAUGGAGAAGCUUGUCGGGGACGUCCUCCGGCGAUCUCCGGUGAGGUUGGUGGUGGAUUUGGUGGGGGGAGGAGUUUGCUCCCUCAAUGGCUCCAUGGGGAAGAGAGGAGGAGAAGGGAGGCAGUGGGGGAGAGAAUGAGAGUGAGAGAAAG
This 1104-nucleotide long non-coding RNA is filed under the name Triticum aestivum (bread wheat). RNAcentral's name for it is "long non-coding RNA (TAES_LNC027475)". The record is from RNAcentral. Lineage: Eukaryota; Viridiplantae; Streptophyta; Magnoliopsida; Poales; Poaceae.